RNAcentral lists this ribosomal RNA (497 nucleotides) under uncultured bacterium. RNAcentral's name for it is "partial 16S ribosomal RNA". It matches the Rfam family "Bacterial small subunit ribosomal RNA", at positions 28 to 507 of the family's 1533-position model. The record is from RNAcentral.
GAUGAACGCUGGCGGCGUGCCUAAUACAUGCAAGUCGAGCGAACAGAUAAGGAGCUUGCUCCUUUGACGUUAGCGGCGGACGGGUGAGUAACACGUGGGUAACCUACCUAUAAGACUGGGAUAACUCCGGGAAACCGGGGCUAAUGCAGGAUAAUAUGUUGAACCGCAUGGUUCAACAGUGAAAGACGGCUUUGCUGUCACUUAUAGAUGGAUCCGCGCCGCAUUAGCUAGUUGGUGAGGUAACGGCUUACCAAGGCAACGAUACGUAGCCGACCUGAGAGGGUGAUCGGCCACACUGGAACUGAGACACGGUCCAGACUCCUACGGGAGGCAGCAGUAGGGAAUCUUCCGCAAUGGGCGAAAGCCUGACGGAGCAACGCCGCGUGAGUGAUGAAGGUCUUCGGAUCGUAAAACUCUGUUAUUAGGGAAGAACAAAUGCGUAAGUAACUGUGCGCGUCUUGACGGUACCUAAUCAGAAAGCCACGGCUAACUACGUG